RNAcentral lists this unclassified non-coding RNA (2512 nucleotides) under Daphnia pulex (common water flea). RNAcentral describes it as "wD and tetratricopeptide repeats protein 1-like, transcript variant X1". The record is from RNAcentral. Lineage: Eukaryota; Metazoa; Arthropoda; Branchiopoda; Diplostraca; Daphniidae.
UUUUGUGACACACCUGACCAUACAAUAACAAGUCUUGAUUCUUCAGAAGACCACACGUCCACUGUCUAUGUCUAGACGACUACUUGUCGUUAAUAAGAUUUUAAGGUUAAAAAUCGUAGUUUGUAAGAAGUAGCAACUUCUCGUUGUCACGUCAUGUUUUCGGUUUGAGAACUUUUACUCACAUUGAAGUUUGAAAAUGGAGGAACACAAGUGGUUGAGUGAUCCUUUGGUGAUGCGUUAUUUGAGAUCCAAAGAGAUAAACGACUCAUUACGGCUGGUACACCAAUCUAAGUUGUCAUCCAUGAAAAGUCUGAUUGACCGACUUGGUCUAGAUUACGAACUUACUGGUCAUGGAGGCUGUGUUAACUGUCUGGAAUGGAACAGUGAUGGUUCAAUUUUAGCAUCUGGUUCAGAUGACCUUCACAUCAUACUCUGGAAUCCAUUUUUAAAGAAAAAAAUUGCUAAUAUAGAUACAGGUCAUCAAGGCAAUAUUUUUUCUGUGAAAUUCAUGCCACAAUCAAUGGAUGGCCUAGUAGCUAGUGCAGCUGGAGAUGGACGAGUCAAAAUCCAUUGGGUGGACCAUGCACAAUCUAUGAAUUCCACUCCUCAGACUAGUCUGCAGUGUAAUUGUCAUGUUGGUCGUGUCAAGCGUUUGGCGACAGCUCCUGAUAUCCCUUACCUACUUUGGAGUGGGGCUGAAGAUGGGACAGUGAUGCAAUUUGACUUGAGGACACCUCACACAUGUACGAAUGGUCCGUCCAACAUUCUUAUUAAUUUAUUAAGCCAUAUGGGAAAACAGGCUGAAGUAAAAUCGAUUGCAAUUAAUCCCAUUCGGACCGAACAACUUGUCGUUGGAGCUAAUGAUCCUUUCAUCCGCCUGUAUGACAGACGAAUGAUUAAAAUCACAUCUGUUCCGUUUUCCGCAGAAAGGCCCAACCGAGGUAGGCAAUACUCAUUGGCAACUAAUUCACAAAGUGAAGAAAGUCGUUCAGCUAUUCCGCUUGGAUGUGCUCAAUAUUUCGCUCCGGGUCAUCUGCCUCAGAAGUUGGAUGAUUACCGUCGCCGUUUUCGCUCGUUAGCGUCGACGUAUGUUACAUUCGAUCCGUCAGGUCGCUAUCUUUUGGCGAAUUUAGGAGGCGAACAGAUUUAUUUGUAUGAUUGCCUAACACCAAAUCCCCCAAUUACUCAAGUGCCUCUUUUGGGUAAAGAACCUUUAAAUGGAAUUAAAGGUUUCACGUUACCCCCAGACAUAGAACAAAUAAAAAUUCAGGCCAACGCGGCCUUCCAGCAACGGCAGUACACUACAGCCAUUGGAUUGUACAGCAAAGCUCUCAUCAAAGCACCAAAUUCGCCAGUCUUGUACAGUAAUCGCGCAACAGCUUGCAUGAAACGUAAUUGGGACGGAGACACGUAUGCUGCUCUCAAGGAUUGCAUUAGUGCAUUGAAGAUCGACCCUAACCAAAUCAAACCCUUUCACCGGUUAGCACGCUGUCUAUUAGAUCUUGGCCAAGUGGUUUUGGCCGACCAGGCAUUCAAAUUGCUCAGGGAAAGAUUUCCUCAACAAGCCAAUAGUUCCACAUUCAAUACUCUUCAUGUCGAAGUCCAGAAAAAGCUUGAGCUUGAAGAACAACGUUCCGAGAAGGAAACUGCUCGGAGAGGAGAGUUGGAUGAUGAAUCUGACUUAUUGGAAGAUGGGGUCAAUUCUCCGAGUUUAACAGAAAACGAAAAAAAUUGGAGGGCACAAUACUGGGACUACUCCAGCCGUUAUUGCGGUCAUUGCAAUACUACCACUGACAUUAAAGAAGCCAAUUUUUUUGGAAACGACGGGCAGUAUAUUCUAGCUGGAUCGGACGACGGAUGUUUUUUUAUUUGGGAUCGUAACACUGGAAUCGUUGAACGAGUGCUGCGUGGUGAUGAAUCGAUCGUUAAUUGUCUUCAGCCUCAUCCUUUCACAUGUAUGUUGGCCUCAUCGGGGAUCGAUUCGGUGGUUCGCAUAUGGUCUCCGCUACCACAGGAAAGAGUCGUCUCAGAUCGUUUGGGGAGUGUGGUACUUGACGCGGAAUCAGCAGCGAUGGCCAAUCAACGACGCAUGAAUGCCGACCCUUUCGAAAUGUUUCUUAUGAACAUGGGUGCGACGGCUGAGGAUGCCAUGCCGGAUAUUACAGUUCGCCCUCGUCGUCCAGCCUCAUCUCCAGACGAUGAUCAGGACGAAGAUCCUCGCGCAGCCAUCCAAUGUCGACAGAGUUAAAAUAAGGGAAUAUAUCUAUAUAUUUUUUCUUUAUCAUUCGAUUGUUAAGUUUUUUUUUGCGCUGGCUCCCCAAUUCGAUGAAUUCUAAGAAAUCCAUGUUAAACUUUAUCUCGCCUUGAUGAUUAUACCUAACCUGUUUGUUACUUAUCGAAUAGUCAUUGAGAUAGCUUGAUUCUCACAAUUAUUGGAGCAUCAGUCACCAUAACGAAGCAGCAGUUAAAUGCCAAUUGUACAACAGAGACGAUUCCAUUUUGCAACCGAAAA